CCUACGGGUGGCAGCAGUGGGGAAUAUUGCGCAAUGGGCGAAAGCCUGACGCAGCGACGCCGCGUGAGGGAUGAAGGUCUUCGGAUCGUAAACCUCUGUCAGCAGGGAAGAACGGUCACUGUGCUAAUCAGCAGUGAAUUGACGGUACCUGCAAAGGAAGCACCGGCUAACUCCGUGCCAGCAGCCGCGGUAAUACGGAGAGUGCGAGCGUUAAUCGGAAUUACUGGGCGUAAAGCGCUCGUAGGCGGUAUGUCAAGUCAAGGGUGAAAUCCCCGCGCGCAACGUGGGAACUGCCUUUGAUACUGGCAAACUGGAGUGUGUGAGAGGAUAGUGGAAUGUGAGGUGUAGGAGUGAAAUGCGUAGAUAUCUGGAGGAACAUCAGUGGCGAAGGCGACUAUCUGGCACAUAACUGACGCUGAGGAGCGAAAGCGUGGGUAGCAAACAGGAUUAGAUACCCUGGUAGUC
Molecule: ribosomal RNA, 465 nt
Filed under: uncultured bacterium
Lineage: Bacteria
Description: partial 16S ribosomal RNA
Rfam family: Bacterial small subunit ribosomal RNA
Source: RNAcentral